This 711-nucleotide ribosomal RNA is filed under the name uncultured bacterium. RNAcentral's name for it is "bacterial SSU rRNA". It matches the Rfam family "Bacterial small subunit ribosomal RNA", at positions 56 to 762 of the family's 1533-position model. The record is from RNAcentral.
UGCAAGUCGAGCGGUAGAGAGGUGCUUGCUUCUCUUGAGAGCGGCGGACGGGUGAGUAAAGCCUAGGAAUCUGCCUGGUAGUGGGGGAUAACGCUCGGAAACGGACGCUAAUACCGCAUACGUCCUACGGGAGAAAGCAGGGGACCUUCGGGCCUUGCGCUAUCAGAUGAGCCUAGGUCGGAUUAGCUAGUUGGUGAGGUAAUGGCUCACCAAGGCGACGAUCCGUAACUGGUCUGAGAGGAUGAUCAGUCACACUGGAACUGAGACACGGUCCAGACUCCUACGGGAGGCAGCAGUGGGGAAUAUUGGACAAUGGGCGAAAGCCUGAUCCAGCCAUGCCGCGUGUGUGAAGAAGGUCUUCGGAUUGUAAAGCACUUUAAGUUGGGAGGAAGGGCAUUAACCUAAUACGUUGGUGUUUUGACGUUACCGACAGAAUAAGCACCGGCUAACUCUGUGCCAGCAGCCGCGGUAAUACAGAGGGUGCAAGCGUUAAUCGGAAUUACUGGGCGUAAAGCGCGCGUAGGUGGUUCGUUAAGUUGGAUGUGAAAUCCCCGGGCUCAACCUGGGAACUGCAUUCAAAACUGUCGAGCUAGAGUAUGGUAGAGGGUGGUGGAAUUUCCUGUGUAGCGGUGAAAUGCGUAGAUAUAGGAAGGAACACCAGUGGCGAAGGCGACCACCUGGACUGAUACUGACACUGAGGUGCGAAAGCGU